GCCGAAGUGGUGGAAUUGGUAGACACACCAUCUUGAGGGGGUGGCGUCCUAACGGGUGUGCCGGUUCGAAUCCGGCCUUCGGCA
RNAcentral lists this transfer RNA (84 nucleotides) under bacterium. RNAcentral's name for it is "tRNA-Leu". It matches the Rfam family "tRNA". From Rfam's summary of the family: Transfer RNA (tRNA) molecules are approximately 80 nucleotides in length. Their secondary structure includes four short double-helical elements and three loops (D, anti-codon, and T loops). The record is from RNAcentral.